Caenorhabditis elegans is the source of this 150-nucleotide non-coding RNA. The record is from Ensembl. NCBI's taxonomy places the organism in Eukaryota, Metazoa, Nematoda, Chromadorea, Rhabditida, Rhabditidae.
UUUUUAUGGAAAACUAAAAAUGUGGGUGGUUGUGAUGGAAUGAAUUGUUGAAAUUUUCAUUUCUUAUCACCCCUCGUACUCUCUUCUUCUCUUUAUUGUAAACAUUAUUAAAGGUUCAUUAAAAUUAAAGAUUCUUUUGAAACUGAGCAU